Gallus gallus (chicken) is the source of this 343-nucleotide long non-coding RNA. Lineage: Eukaryota; Metazoa; Chordata; Aves; Galliformes; Phasianidae. The record is from Ensembl.
GACAAAGAUGAGGACUGAAGUCAAGCCAAAGUCUUGCUCUGCCUCCAAAAGCCUCUCAGCCAUGCUGCGCAAGAAUGUGCUAUCCUGGGAUGACAAAGGACAGUCUUUAUUCAGUAAAAAGUGGAUUGCCACUGUGUGUGAGAAGAGCAAGCAGGCACAAUGACUGUCAGUUCAAAGGAAAAAAGAAAACCUGAAGAUAUCCAUGCUAAGCAAAUACUCCGCAUUAGUACUGAAACUAUCACCGCAGCCUAUUUGACCACAGUCAUGCAAGGAUAUACUCAGACAGUUCUCUUGGUGGAAGACAUAAUGAUGGCUUUAAAGUCAGGGGUAUCAACCCAAUGGG